This 505-nucleotide ribosomal RNA is filed under the name uncultured bacterium. RNAcentral describes it as "partial 16S ribosomal RNA". It matches the Rfam family "Bacterial small subunit ribosomal RNA", at positions 28 to 507 of the family's 1533-position model. The record is from RNAcentral.
GACGAACGCUGGCGGCGUGCCUAAUACAUGCAAGUAGAACGCACAGUUUAUACCGUAGCUUGCUACACCAUAGACUGUGAGUUGCGAACGGGUGAGUAACGCGUAGGUAACCUGCCUGGUAGCGGGGGAUAACUAUUGGAAACGAUAGCUAAUACCGCAUAAUAUUAAUUAUUGCAUGAUAAUUAAUUGAAAGGUGCAAUUGCACCACUACCAGAUGGACCUGCGUUGUAUUAGCUAGUAGGUGAGGUAACGGCUCACCUAGGCGACGAUACAUAGCCGACCUGAGAGGGUGAUCGGCCACACUGGGACUGAGACACGGCCCAGACGCCUACGGGAGGCAGCAGUAGGGAAUCUUCGGCAAUGGACGAAAGUCUGACCGAGCAACGCCGCGUGAGUGAAGAAGGUUUUCGGAUCGUAAAGCUCUGUUGUAAGAGAAGAACGGGUGUGAGAGUGGAAAGCUCACACUGUGACGGUAUCUUACCAGAAAGGGACGGCUAACUACGUG